Molecule: ribosomal RNA, 468 nt
Filed under: uncultured bacterium
Lineage: Bacteria
Description: partial 16S ribosomal RNA
Rfam family: Bacterial small subunit ribosomal RNA
Source: RNAcentral
GACGAACGCUGGCGGCGUGCUUAACACAUGCAAGUCGAACGGAAAGGCCCUGCUUUUGUGGGGUGCUCGAGUGGCGAACGGGUGAGUAACACGUGAGUAACCUGCCCUUGACUUUGGGAUAACUUCAGGAAACUGGGGCUAAUACCGGAUAGGAGCUCCUGCUGCAUGGUGGGGGAUGGAAAGUUUCGGCGGUUGGGGAUGGACUCGCGGCUUAUCAGCUUGUUGGUGGGGUAGUGGCUUACCAAGGCUUUGACGGGUAGCCGGCCUGAGAGGGUGACCGGCCACAAUGGGACUGAGAGACGGCCCAGAAGCCUACGGGAGGCAGCAGUGGGGAAUAUUGCACAGUGGGCGGAAGCCUGAGGCAGCGACGCCGCGUGCGUGAUGACGGCCUUCGAGUUGUAAACCGCUUUCGCCGGUGACGAAGCGUGAGUGACGGUAAUGGGUAAAGAAGCACCGGCUAACUACGUG